This 290-nucleotide ribosomal RNA is filed under the name uncultured eukaryote. RNAcentral describes it as "partial small subunit ribosomal RNA". It matches the Rfam family "Eukaryotic small subunit ribosomal RNA", at positions 587 to 881 of the family's 1831-position model. The record is from RNAcentral.
AGCUCCAAUAGCGUAUAUUAAAGUUGUUGCGGUUAAAAAGCUCGUAGUUGGAUUUCUGCUGAAGCAAACCGGUCCGCCCUCUGGGUGAGCAUCUGGCUUUAUUUUGGCAUAUGUUUGGACUUUGCAGCUGCACUUGACUGUGUGGUGUAAAGGUCAAGCCAUUUACUUUGAGGGAAUCAGAGUGUUUCAAGCAGGCAAUUGCCUUGAAUACAUUAGCAUGGAAUAAUAUGAUAUGACUGUGGUUUUAUGUUGUUGGCUUCUAGAAUUGGAGUAAUGAUUAAUAGGGAUAG